GUUGUGCCUUGGAGGAAGAACUUCAGCGUGCUAUCUUGGUGGCAAUCUGCGAGUCCCAAAUAUCCUACCCUGUCCAAAAUGGCUCGUGAUCUUUUACCAAUACAAUUUUCUCUCGUUACUGGCUUAGACGCAUUUUACACCGAGCUACGCGAGCCUGAUCAAAAGUUAGUUUUCUUGGAUAUAUUGAACGCCGAUGAGGCCUAGUUUGUUAUCUGUUGUUGAAGAUAAAAGACGUCGACUCUACCAAGAAUCGGUAUGAGUUAGUGAGAAGAUUGCUAGGUGAUAAUUGGGUCACUUGUAGGAAUCAAGUUCUCAUGUGAACAGAAUUUGAGCAUAUAAAUAUACAAUAUUUAUCGUAUAUAAUCUUUUUUUUAACCAAUAAAAGGUUUCGACAAAUUUUC
Molecule: long non-coding RNA, 401 nt
Filed under: Olea europaea subsp. europaea
Lineage: Eukaryota; Viridiplantae; Streptophyta; Magnoliopsida; Lamiales; Oleaceae
Source: RNAcentral